GAUGAACGCUAGCGAUAGGCUUAACACAUGCAAGUCGAGGGGCAGCAUUGUCUUAGCUUGCUAAGACUGAUGGCGACCGACGCACGGGUGCGUAACGCGUAUGCACCUUGCCUCACAGAGGGGGAUAACCCGUCGAAAGACGGACUAAUACCGCGUACACUCUAUUUUGGGCAUCCAAGGUAGAGGAAAUUAAAUUAGCUGUGAUAUAGGCAUGCGUCCCAUUAGCUAGUUGGUGAGGUAACGGCUCACCAAGGCGACGAUGGGUAGGGGAACUGAGAGGUUGAACCCCCACACUGGUACAGAGACACGGACCAGACUCAGACGGGAGGCAGCAGUGAGGAAUAUUGGUCAAUGGGCGAGGGCCUGAACCAGCCAAGUCGCGUGAAGGAUGACUGUCUUAUGUAUUGUAAACUUCUUUUGUAGGGGAAUAAAGAGGGGAACGUGUGCCCCAGUGAAUGUACCCUACGAAUAAGCAUCGGCUAACUCCGUG
RNAcentral lists this ribosomal RNA (490 nucleotides) under uncultured bacterium. RNAcentral's name for it is "partial 16S ribosomal RNA". It matches the Rfam family "Bacterial small subunit ribosomal RNA", at positions 28 to 507 of the family's 1533-position model. The record is from RNAcentral.